Molecule: ribosomal RNA, 466 nt
Filed under: uncultured bacterium
Lineage: Bacteria
Description: partial 16S ribosomal RNA
Rfam family: Bacterial small subunit ribosomal RNA
Source: RNAcentral
GAUGAACGCUGGCGGCGUGCUUAACACAUGCAAGUCGAACGAUGAAGCCCAGCUUGUUGGUUGGAUUAGUGGCGAACGGGUGAGUAACACGUGAGUAACCUGCCCUUAACUCUGGGAUAAGCCUGGGAAACUGGGUCUAAUACCGGACAGGAGCGUGUACCGCAAGGAGGGUGGUGGAAAGAUUUAUCGGUUUUGGAUGGAUUGGCGGCCUAUCAGCUUGUUAGUGAGGUAAUGGCCCACCAAGGCGACGACGGGUAGCCGGCCCGGGAGGGUGACCGGCGACCAUAGGCCUACGGGACGGAGCAGUGUCCAACGGGGGGCAGCGGUGGGAAGUCUUACGCAGUGGGGGCAAGCCUGUUGCGGCGGCGCCGCGUUAGGAAAGACGGCCUUCGGGUGGUAAACCUCUUUCAGUAGAGAAGAAGCGAAAGUGACGGUACCUGCAGAAGAAGCACCGGCUAACUCCGUG